UACGGAGGGGGUUAGCGUUGUUCGGAAUUACUGGGCGUAAAGCGCACGUAGGCGGAUCAGAAAGUAUGAGGUGAAAUCCCAGGGCUCAACCCUGGAACUGCCUUGUAAACUCCUGGUCUUGAGUUCGAGAGAGGUGAGUGGAAUUCCGAGUGUAGAGGUGAAAUUCGUAGAUAUUCGGAGGAACACCAGUGGCGAAGGCGGCUCACUGGCUCGAUACUGACGCUGAGAGACGAAGGCCAGGGUAGCGAAAAGG
This 253-nucleotide ribosomal RNA is filed under the name uncultured bacterium. Its description in RNAcentral is "partial 16S ribosomal RNA". It matches the Rfam family "Bacterial small subunit ribosomal RNA", at positions 524 to 776 of the family's 1533-position model. The record is from RNAcentral.